Molecule: long non-coding RNA, 1328 nt
Organism: Nannospalax galili (Upper Galilee mountains blind mole rat)
Lineage: Eukaryota; Metazoa; Chordata; Mammalia; Rodentia; Spalacidae
Exons: 2
Source: RefSeq, a predicted model, not a curated record
AGGUCUCCAGAAAGAAAUAAUGAAGAGGACUGAAUCUAAGUCACUGGAGUAGGCUAAAGGUAUCUUCAGUACCUGACAACAAUGAAACAUCUAAUUAUAUAUAUAAUUCGUGAAAUUUCCAUUGCAUUUUUCAAAUUACUAUGACCAGCUUUACCCCAUUAAUUUUUUACAUAUCUUUUAAAAAUAUAGAUUUUGAAAAAAGUUAAUGGAACCAUUGAUUAACCGAGAAAUUUUCAGUGGCUCAUGCAUAAAUACGGCUACUGUCCUCUGAAUUCACUUUCUCUUUCAUUAUGAUGUCCCUUGAUCUCGCUACAUCAUGUCUCUUUAUUUAUCUUUUAUCUCCAACUCUCAUUUUUCUGGCAUACCUGUUGUCACACUGCUUUUUUUAACCUCCUCUUUUACUUCCAUUCUCACCAAGCAUAUCAUGAAGAGCCAUCUGAAAAUGAAGGUGAUUAUAUCUAGGUAAUCAAGCUAAUUCUAAUCAGAUGUCACCAAAGUGAUUUAUAAUUUUUUUAAUAUAGUCAUUAUUCAAAAGUUUCAACAUUAUUAGAUAAUCAGAAGGAAUAUCAUUGCUGACUGGCUGUUUUGUAACUGGUUUUUUAAAAAGCAAUUUAUUAAUAUUUAUGUUGAUCUUAGACAAAUUUUUAAAAUUAGACUAUUUUCUAGAACAAUUUUAGGCUCACAGCAAAGUUGACUGGAGAAGUACAGAAUGCCCAAGUGUAUUCACUCUUCUACACAAAUAGUCCACAUCACUAUCAACAUCUUGCACCAGAGAGGUACAUUUGUUGUACUGAUAAGCCAACUUUGGUGUGUUUUUAUCAUCAAAAGUCCAUGGUUACCCAGGAGUGGAGGCUCACUACUACAGUCCCUGCACUUUGGAGGCUGAGGCAGGAAGACUGCUAUGAGCUUGAAGCCUGUGCUACUUUGUCUCAAAAAAAAUUCAUAUUUCAUAUAAAGGCUCACAGUUGUGGGUUUACAUUCUAUGAUUGGACAAAUGUCAGAGAAGCAGCAGCCACUCAUAUGGUGUCAUCAUAACACAAGAGUUUCACGGUACCCUGUACCUCCCUCCUUCUGCUUUAGUGCUUGCCAACCACUGAUCUUUGUUUGGCUCCAUAGUUUUGCAUUUUUUGAAUGGAAAUGCAGUUGCAGUCCUUCAUUUACUAAUGUGCAUUUGGGUUCCCCUUAUCUGGUUACAGCUUAAAGGUACAUUUCUUGUUGGUGACAAAUAAUAUUGCAUUGUUUAUACAUCCUACAAUUGACUUUACUGUUCACUUCCUAAAGGACAUCUUGGUUGUUUCUACUGAUUAUGAAUAAAGCUGCUGAAGACA